This 615-nucleotide ribosomal RNA is filed under the name uncultured bacterium. RNAcentral's name for it is "bacterial SSU rRNA". It matches the Rfam family "Bacterial small subunit ribosomal RNA", at positions 338 to 950 of the family's 1533-position model. The record is from RNAcentral.
CCUACGGGAGGCAGCAGUGGGGAAUUUUGGACAAUGGGCGAAAGCCUGAUCCAGCAAUGCCGCGUGUGGGAAGAAGGCCUUCGGGUUGUAAACCACUUUUGUACGGAACGAAACGGUCUGCUUUAAUACAGUGGGCUAAUGACGGUACCGUAAGAAUAAGCACCGGCUAACUACGUGCCAGCAGCCGCGGUAAUACGUAGGGUGCGAGCGUUAAUCGGAAUUACUGGGCGUAAAGCGUGCGCAGGCGGUUAUAUAAGACAGUUGUGAAAUCCCCGGGCUCAACCUGGGAAUUGCAUCUGUGACUGUAUAGCUAGAGUACGGUAGAGGGGGAUGGAAUUCCGCGUGUAGCAGUGAAAUGCGUAGAUAUGCGGAGGAACACCGGAUGGCGAAGGCAAUCCCCUGGACCUGUACUGACGCUCAUGCACGAAAGCGUGGGGAGCAAACAGGAUUAGAUACCCUGGUAGUCCACGCCCUAAACGAUGUCAACUGGUUGUUGGGUGCAUUAGUACUCAGUAACGAAGCUAACGCGUGAAGUUGACCGCCUGGGGAAGUCGGCGCAGGUUGAACUUAAAUGAAUUGACGGCUGAGAGNGCGACGACGACGACGAGGGAGAGG